This 673-nucleotide small RNA is filed under the name Pan troglodytes (chimpanzee). RNAcentral describes it as "retained intron". The record is from RNAcentral. Lineage: Eukaryota; Metazoa; Chordata; Mammalia; Primates; Hominidae.
GGAUCAGACCUUGAAAGCAUUAAUGGCUGCAGAGGAUAAGGUACUGAUGGCUCGUGUGGUUUUUAGGUUUAACUGCAACCCAGACAUCUUUCAGCUUCCAAUGCCUCCUGGUUCGUUUGGUAUAACGACUGCACCUUCACUUCACCCUCUGCUAUUUAUAUCUUGCUUUAAGUGCUUUCCCUUGGUCCUUUAUGCUCCUUUGUUUUCCCUUCAUAAAUGCUCUUUGGGCAGCCAAAAAAGGAGCCAAAUUAUCGUACUUCAAAGUUGUUGGAUUUGGUCACCCUGCCUUCUGCUGUUGCGAGGUUGGGGGGCAGUGUUCCUGGCAAAACUAAACAUUUUAAUACCUGAUGAUUUGGCUACUUUAAGGCAGCCCUUCGUCUCUAGGACUCAGUUUUCAUUUUUUCCCAUCCCUCUCCUUUUUCUCUCCUCCUUCCUUUGGCUUGUCUCCCACCCUUUCUGCCUCUGAUCGAAAACAUUAGCAAAUGUGCCGAGCUUGAAGAAGAAUUGAAAACUGUGACGAACAACUUGAAGUCACUGGAGGCUCAGGCUGAGAAGUACUCGCAGAAGGAAGACAGAUAUGAGGAAGAGAUCAAGGUCCUUUCCGACAAGCUGAAGGAGGUAAUAUGAGAGUUGUGGAUGAAGCCAACUGGAUUUUAAAUGAGUUUGUUUUCAU